Molecule: transfer RNA, 72 nt
Filed under: Camelus bactrianus (Bactrian camel)
Lineage: Eukaryota; Metazoa; Chordata; Mammalia; Artiodactyla; Camelidae
Also listed under: 1 other name
Rfam family: tRNA
About the family: Transfer RNA (tRNA) molecules are approximately 80 nucleotides in length. Their secondary structure includes four short double-helical elements and three loops (D, anti-codon, and T loops).
Source: Rfam by way of RNAcentral
GCAGAUGUAGCUCAGUGGUGUAGUGCAUGUUUAGCAUGCAUGAGGUCCUGGGUUCCAUCCCCGGUGCCUCCA